GAGGAUAUAGCUCAAGUGGUAGAGCACAUGCUUAGCAUGCAUGAGGCCCUGGGUUCAAUCCCCAGUACCUCCU
Molecule: transfer RNA, 73 nt
Filed under: Camelus bactrianus (Bactrian camel)
Lineage: Eukaryota; Metazoa; Chordata; Mammalia; Artiodactyla; Camelidae
Also listed under: 2 other names
Rfam family: tRNA
About the family: Transfer RNA (tRNA) molecules are approximately 80 nucleotides in length.
Source: Rfam by way of RNAcentral